This 335-nucleotide ribosomal RNA is filed under the name Choanolaimus sp. MKL1. RNAcentral describes it as "eukaryotic LSU rRNA". It matches the Rfam family "Eukaryotic large subunit ribosomal RNA", at positions 652 to 958 of the family's 3401-position model. Lineage: Eukaryota; Metazoa; Nematoda; Chromadorea; Chromadorida; Choanolaimidae. The record is from RNAcentral.
ACUUUGAACACGGACCAAGGAGUUUUAACAUGUGUGCGAGUGAUUGGGUGGAAAACCCAAGAGCGUAAUGAAAGUGAAAGUUGGCUUUGGUCACCUUAUAUGGGAUCCUCAUACCCUCGUGGUUGAGGCGCACCAUAAUCCCGUCCCAUCUGCAUCGUCAGUGGGUCGGAGAUAGAGCGCAUAUGUUGAGACCCGAAAGAUGGUGAACUAUGCCUGAGCAGGAUGAAGCCAGAGGAAACUCUGGUGGAAGUCCAUAGCGGUUCUGACGUGCAAAUCGAUCGUCAGACUUGGGUAUAGGGGCGAAAGANUAAUCGAACCAUCUAGUAGCUGGUCUC